UACGUAGGGUGCGAGCGUUGUCCGGAAUUAUUGGGCGUAAAGAGCUUGUAGGUGGUUUGUCGCGUCUGCUGUGAAAAUCCGAGGCUCAACCUCGGACUUGCAGUGGGUACGGGCAGACUAGAGUGCGGUAGGGGAGAUUGGAAUUCCUGGUGUAGCGGUGGAAUGCGCAGAUAGUCAGGAGGAACACCAGAUGGCGAAGGCAGAUCUCUGGGCCGUAACUGACGCUGAGGAGCGAAAGCAUGGGGAGCGA
RNAcentral lists this ribosomal RNA (250 nucleotides) under uncultured bacterium. RNAcentral describes it as "partial 16S ribosomal RNA". It matches the Rfam family "Bacterial small subunit ribosomal RNA", at positions 524 to 771 of the family's 1533-position model. The record is from RNAcentral.